Small nucleolar RNA from Magallana angulata, 74 nucleotides. RefSeq annotates it as small nucleolar RNA SNORD34. The record is from RefSeq and is a predicted model, not a curated record. NCBI's taxonomy places the organism in Eukaryota, Metazoa, Mollusca, Bivalvia, Ostreida, Ostreidae. The transcript has a single exon.
AGAUUUUGAUGAUGAUGAUAUUCUUACCUACAUUGUAUGAAUACAUGUGAUUUAUUAUUUUACCUGAGAAAUCU